AGUGGGUUUCGUUCCUCCUAUGAUGUUUCUCCAAUAUACUAAUUUUGUGAAAGUCGGUAACAAAAUGCCAAAGAAAGUGAGGAAAAUGAGAAGAGAGAGGAAACAGAAAGAGAGAAAUGGAGAUGAAGCGAGAUGUGUUUGGGUGUUUCUUGAGUUUUUCUUGGGUGAGUAAUGGAGGGAAUUGAAGGGAAAUAGUGAGAGAAAAUGAGUGAAAAAUGAUGGGUUCAGAGAGAUGAAUGAGCUCUUGGAAUUUUUUGUUCUCACCAUUGAAGAUUCUCUGAGAAAUUUACAGAAGCUCUUGAGGAAAUUAUGGAGGAAGAAAAGCAGCUAAAGUUAUUUCAGUAGAAGAUGGCUUUCUAGCGAGAAAACGAUGGAAUAAUAGAAAAUUGAUGCGUAGGAAGUAGUAAAUUAGAGAAGUGAUGAAGGGUAGAUUUAGAACAACCUCCAUUUCAAUUCAAGAAUAGUUCACGGUGGUUAGAUAAAGAAAGGGGUUUUAAUGAUGGCUAUAAGGUUGUUUUGAGGUGGAAUAAUUGAUGAAGUG
This 541-nucleotide long non-coding RNA is filed under the name Nicotiana benthamiana. Its description in RNAcentral is "long non-coding RNA (NBEN_LNC019441)". The record is from RNAcentral. Lineage: Eukaryota; Viridiplantae; Streptophyta; Magnoliopsida; Solanales; Solanaceae.